Molecule: long non-coding RNA, 312 nt
Filed under: Capsicum annuum
Lineage: Eukaryota; Viridiplantae; Streptophyta; Magnoliopsida; Solanales; Solanaceae
Description: long non-coding RNA (CANN_LNC019502)
Source: RNAcentral
UAUGACCUGGCUCCUAUCUAUGCUGUGAAUGAGCUGAAGCACCUGUGCCUGCAGCAUGAAAUGCAGGUCCCCCGUGAGGGACGUCAGUACGAAAUAUGUACUGAGUAUGUAAAGCUGUAAAUAAUCAUAUGUGGUAUGGGGGAUCAAGAAAAUCAGACGCAAGUGAAUAAAUCAUAAUAGAAGUGAACCACACUUCAUAAACACUUUUAGGAUCAUGUACAUUAUCUUAUCAUUAAUCUGAAUUGGGUUCUUGAAUUCAAACACAUUUGUGGAACGGUAUACAUUCGUUCAUUUCAUUCUUUACAAUUAUCA